CUACGGGGCGCAGCAGUGGGGAAUAUUGGACAAUGGGGGAAACCCUGAUCCAGCAAUGCCGCGUGUGUGAAGAAGGCCUGCGGGUUGUAAAGCACUUUCGGUUGGGAGGACUGCUUCUAGCACUAAUAUUGUUGGAAGUUGACGUUACCUUCAGAAGAAGCACCGGCUAACUCCGUGCCAGCAGCCGCGGCAAUACGGAGGGUGCAAGCGUUAAUCGGAAUUACUGGGCGUAAAGCGCGCGUAGGCGGCUAGAUCAGUCGGGUGUGAAAGCCCCGGGCUUAACCUGGGAACUGCAUCCGAUACUGUCUAGCUUGAGUACAGGAGAGGAGAGUGGAAUUCCACAUGUAGCGGUGAAAUGCGUAGAUAUGUGGAGGAACACCAAUGGCGAAGGCAGCUCUCUGGCCUGAUACUGACGCUGAGAUGCGAAAGCGUGGGGAGCAAACAGGAUUAGAUACCCCAGUAGUC
RNAcentral lists this ribosomal RNA (465 nucleotides) under uncultured bacterium. Its description in RNAcentral is "partial 16S ribosomal RNA". It matches the Rfam family "Bacterial small subunit ribosomal RNA", at positions 339 to 795 of the family's 1533-position model. The record is from RNAcentral.